GGGGAAUAUUGCACAAUGGGCGCAAGCCUGAUGCAGCGACGCCGCGUGCGGGAUGACGGCCUUCGGGUUGUAAACCGCUUUUGUUGGGGAGCAAGCCUUCGGGUGAGUGUACCCUUCGAAUAAGCACCGGCUAACUACGUGCCAGCAGCCGCGGUAAUACGUAGGGUGCAAGCGUUAUCCGGAAUUAUUGGGCGUAAAGAGCUCGUAGGCGGUUCGUCGCGUCCGGUGUGAAAGUCCAUCGCUUAACGGUGGAUCUGCGCCGGGUACGGGCGGGCUGGAGUGCGGUAGGGGAGACUGGAAUUCCCGGUGUAACGGUGGAAUGUGUAGAUAUCGGGAAGAACACCAAUGGCGAAGGCAGGUCUCUGGGCCGUUAUUGACGCUGAGGAGCGAAAGCGUGGGGAGCGAAC
RNAcentral lists this ribosomal RNA (407 nucleotides) under uncultured bacterium. Its description in RNAcentral is "bacterial SSU rRNA". It matches the Rfam family "Bacterial small subunit ribosomal RNA", at positions 356 to 773 of the family's 1533-position model. The record is from RNAcentral.